CGGCAGGCCUAAUACAUGCAAGUCGAACGGUAGAUCGGGUAGCAAUACUUGAUUGAGAGUGACGUAAGGGUGCGUAACACGUAUGCAAUCUACCCUCAACAGGAGUAUAGCUCGGGGAAACUCGGAUUAACACUCCAUAACAUUACGAUGUGGCAUCACAUUGUGAUUAAAACUCCGGUGGUUGAGGAUGAGCAUGCGUCUGAUUAGUUAGUUGGAGGUGUAACGGACCCCCAAGACGAUGAUCAGUAGGGGAACUGAGAGGUUGAUCCCCCACACUGGCACUGAGAUACGGGCCAGACUCCUACGGGAGGCAGCAGUAGGGAAUAUUGGUCAAUGGGUGAGAGCCUGAACCAGCCAUGCCGCGUGCAGGAAGACGGCCUUCUGGGUUGUAAACUGCUUUUAUCUGGGGAUAAAAAGCCCAUGCGUGGGACAUUGAAGGUACCAGAUGAAUAAGCACCGGCUAACUACGUG
Molecule: ribosomal RNA, 471 nt
Filed under: uncultured bacterium
Lineage: Bacteria
Description: bacterial SSU rRNA
Rfam family: Bacterial small subunit ribosomal RNA
Source: RNAcentral